CCCACCCACGCCUUCCCCAUAGGCCAUCUGCCUCCUUCCUCGGCAGAUCUGCCGCCCCCCAGGGCCCGCGCCCCUCCACGCCCGCGCUACCGCAAGCCACCGGCCCCGCCCCCACCGUCGUCCCCAGCCCUCGUCGCGACGACACCGCAGCUCAUCGCCUCCGUCGCCGAGGCCAUCGGCGGAGAGGACUGCACCGCCGACCUCCCUGAGAAGCUCCUCGCCUCAUAUUUGGCCUGCUUGACUUUAAUGGGGGGCGAUGGCGUCUUCCUCUCCCGUCCCCGUCGGCCGCGAGCGGAGCGGCCCAGCUGCUGCUGCUGCAGAGUCAGAGCUGCCCCGAAGCUUCUCGCCUCCCCCUCCCACUUCCCCUUCUCGUCUAGGCUGGAAUUCCACUCCACCACCACCGCCCGCCGCCCCUCUGCACGCAAGCAGCUUGACUGCUUCAGCACAAGACCCAUCCAUUCCUUUGAGGAUCGCAUCGCAUCAGAUUUCUCAGAUCAGAUCAACCUCUUCCCUCUCCGGCCGAUUCUACUCCAUCAAGUCCAGUCCAGAGCCUUUAGUGGCUCACGGAGACUGAAAGCUCUCCCCCUGUUUCUGCAGCUGAUAUCACACCCAAUAUGGCGGCAAAUGUCGGGGAAUCGACAAGCGGCAGCAACAGUUGUGCUACCUUUUGCAGUUGUGCUACCUUUUGCAAAGUACCUGUAGGAAAUGCUGACGGUGAGGAUAUCCAGCCUCUUAUCUGUGACAAUGGAACUGGAAUGGUCAAGGCUGGGUUGGCCGGUGAUGAUGCACCAAGGGCUUUUUUCCCUAGCAUUGUUGGCCUCCCUUGCCGCACUGGUGUGAUGGUAGGGAUGGGGCAGAAGGAUGCAUACGUUGGGGACGACUCCAGGGACUGCCCCCUUCCUCGACGUCGGCUUCCACUGCUGCGAGAACGGCCGCCCCGACACGUCCCCAAGUGGCGCUGGCAGCUGACGUGCUGCGAUCUCCCCAGGUGGGUUGGUUCUGAUUUGCUGCUUGUUGCUUCUAAGCAACUUUUUUAUUACAGACAGGCAUUAAUAUGAUGUUAGAUAGGAAAUAAUUUGCUAUUAAUUAGGCAAAGUACUAUCUCAAAAAGAGGACAACAAGGAGGGCAGAAAGGACGGUUGAAUUGGUUUGCUAUUAACUUUUUUUUUGUUUGCGCAUUAGCACUUUGUAUAGAUAUGAGUUUGUUUGUGUUGAUCGUCAUCGUUGAUUAAGUAGAUUGUGGCAGCGAUCACAUUGUGUCUCCAUUUGAGCUUCUCUUUGUGUGAAUUUUUUUAUAACUAUUCCAUAUUUUGCAACAUAGAAAUGAUAUAAUACUGAAUUAGAUUAUAAUUAUUAGGUCAUGCUAUCCAACAACUUAGUACAUGUAGUACCAACAAUUGGAAGGAAAUCGAGGUCUUUUUGUUUGAGCUUCUUUUUACUGAGAUAGCUAGGCAAGUUUGCAUGCUUCAUGUAGCAUAUCGUCAGUAAUUCAAUGACUCUUUCUUUUUUUCUUCAGUGAAUGCAUGGAUUACAGUACGAGCUAGUCAUAUCUUGAUAGGGGCUAGUUGCGGGCAGAAUGAAGGUUUGCUUCAUAGGUUCCUGCAUUGACUCCUAGAAAAUCAUAGUCAUACAUAACCCUACAUCUCCUAUUGUUUUACCUACAAUUCAGUAAGCAAAAUAGUGUUAUUCUGCAGGCAAAUUAGGGGAGUAUAGCUGGCAAAUAGGUGCUAUGUAGCUAGCAAAAAAAUAUAUGCAUUCAAGACUAGCUAGCAUUUUAUCACAAAAUAGGCAGGGGGCAUCACAAAAUAGCCAGAGGCAAAAUUGUGUAAUUAAAUUGGUAAACCAGUGAUCCACAGUAAGCAAAACAAGCAAAUCAAUUGGCAAUUUUUCUCAGCAUAUUCAUGCACGUAUGUGGGGGGGAACAAUUGCAGUUCAGUAGUGAAAUCUUGCAAUUUUUUACUAUAUUUUUUUUGUCUUAUGUGGUUGUCACUACAUGUUACCUACAUUGAACCUAUUUACUGUAACAUUUUUGUAGGAGACCAAAAUUAGCAAAAUACAGUAGAGUCAAGCAGAUCAACGAGGUCAGCUAGAGAGGAGUUACCUUGUGCAGUUAGUCUGGGAGAGUUGAUAUUUCUAUUUGCUUGGCAGGAUAGUGCAAUUUUCUUCAGUAUGCAGUAUCAUAAGUAGUUCAAAAAAAUUAGCUGGAUUAUCAUUCAUCUACUAGACGUAUGCAAUGCACUAAAUUGCUAGAAUGUAGUCUAUGCGUAAUGUCAUUUGUUGUGUGUCUGAUUACUUCUUAUUGUUGUGCAAUUAAAUAAAUUUCCUCUAAACAGAUUAGUGCAAUACAGCAUGCAAUUAAUUGAAUUUCUCUAGGCAGAUUAGUCCAAUAUAGCAAACAAUUAAAUGUUUUUUCAUAGGCAAAUUGGUGCAAUACAGCAAGCAAAACAAUGUUUUUUCAUUCGGAGUGGUAUGAGGGUGCUACAAAGGAUCAGGUGAGAGGUGAGGUCGUGCGCUCCUGAUGUUUUUUAACAGCCCCCUGCACAAAUUCAUUUGCUAGCCUGUGCCUUGAUUGUUUUGAUGUUUUAGAUGCAGUGUGGAGAGUGAAAUCGAAACCCUAGGGAGGUGGUGCAUAGGUAAGGUGCAACCAAUAUAGAGAUUUGGGUCUGCCCCCCAAAUCUUGAGGCCUUCCUGGUGGUUGGCACUACACAGGUGCAUCUCCUUUUUAUUGAAUUUAUUUUCCGCAUGGCUGUUAUCAUUUUUCAGCAUGAAUGACAGUUUUUUUGUCUAGCAGUUCUGAAACUAGUUGCACACAUGUUUAUCAUUAGCAUUUUAAUAAAUUUCAAUAAGCAUUUAAAUACUAUUCAACUAGCAUUUCAAAUGUUCACGUGAAGCAAUUUAGAAAAUUUUAUGCUUUUCGUUAUGUAGUAUGUAAGCGUUGCAUGCAAUCUUUUUCCUUAAUAGGCAAUAAUAUGAUUCUGGAUUAUGUAAAAUAAUACAUUUCAGGCAACACUAUGUUUCCAUAUUAUGGAAUAAUAUGGUUCUUGAUAGGCAAAACAAUGUAUUUCUUUCAUCUUGCCAUUAGCACGAGGUUCGGUGUUAUUGACAGUUUUUUUGUUUAUUUCUGUCUUGGUUUGUUGCUCUUCUUUUCAGUUGGUCCUACCUCUUGUCAGAAGUGGAGUGAGAAAUGACUUGCCUAACUGCAUUCUACCCGUGUGUUUUGUGGGUAUAGCACCCCUUCUCCAAAUCAGUGCCCUCCCUCAUCAGCUUGUGUGAUGCACUAGUAAUUUAGCAUCAGCACUACACUACCAAGAGAAAUGUAACAGUUUUGAGAUUUGGCAUAUCAAUAUAUUAUCCGUGCAAUUUUGUUGCUUCCUUCAGUAUUCAGUAUGUGUGUUGUCAUCUUAGUCUAUAAAGUAACAGUGUCUAUGAGCUGGUAAUUUUACCUUUUCCAGUGAAGAAGAGGUGGUGUGGCAUUUUA
RNA transcript from Panicum virgatum (switchgrass), 3478 nucleotides. RefSeq lists it as uncharacterized. The record is from RefSeq and is a predicted model, not a curated record. NCBI's taxonomy places the organism in Eukaryota, Viridiplantae, Streptophyta, Magnoliopsida, Poales, Poaceae. The transcript is spliced from 4 exons.